Molecule: transfer RNA, 97 nt
Filed under: Candidatus Accumulibacter sp. SK-11
Lineage: Bacteria; Pseudomonadati; Pseudomonadota; Betaproteobacteria
Description: tRNA-Gly
Source: RNAcentral
GUCGCCGUGGUCGCUGCGGGCGACGAUCGGUGAUUCCUGCCUCGCCCGGAGGCGGGUCGAAUGCCGCGUCGGUGGCGAUCUCUGCGCGGCGGCGGCG